GGAUCCACUCUAGCACUUAGUAAAGUGCCUGGCCCAGAGGUUCCUUCAUUCGAGGAAGUUUGCACUUUGGCACUCUGAGAGGCCUCCAUCUUGGGAAUCCAGGAAGAACCCAGAAUAGCACCGAGAGUUGGUCCAUGAACGUUCUCCCUCAUGCAGUGUUCUGUACACCGUAAGUGCUGAAUAAAUUCCACCGAUUAGUUGAUUCAGCCAUUUAAGUGUUCUGGAGCACUUACCGCUUGUGGAGCACUAUUCCAGCCUCGGGGGAGAGUUAAACGAAAGCAAAAGACACAAUCACUGCCCUUGAGAAACUAAUUUACAAAGGCUGUAGGGGAAAAAGAGAUUCAAAAUGACACACUAAUUUUUUGGAUAUCUCAUUUCAUUGCUGUUUUCCCCCACCCCUCCACCUCCUUGGAGGAGAAACUAGUUUAAAUACAUUUUUAUAGGCUUUUCUACCACACCCCCUUCAUCCAGCCUCAGGGAUCUCUUCAUCAAAGGUGGCAACAAAUCAAGAAUCCUUUUACAAUUAGGGCAGGGGUCAAGGGAUUUCAGGAAAAUUGCUAUUGCAGUGGUGUGGAGAAGUUUCCACAUAGCUGGGUGUCCUAGUGUCACAUCCCUAAUAAAUGAGGGCCACCAAAUUCUCUGCUUUUCUUUUAUAAAAUGUGCGCUCUUUAAUCAGCCAUGUUCAUACCUUUAACCUGACCUCAAACAUGAAAAAUUCUCUAAUCCUGGUCAUUCCAUCAAAAGGGGCACUUGAGGAAAUCCAAUGGGAAAUUCACUAAAAUGAACAAAGAUGCAAAAAAAUGCUAUUAAAACAUGAAUAGAGAUCAAGAUGAUCCCAAAGCCCAUUAGCAAUAUUUAACCUCCAGUCUGCAGCAUGAUAUGAAUGAAAUGUCUUUUCUCUCUUUCAAACUGUACCCACAUGAACACAAUGGAAAGAGAAGGUGGGUGGAAAGUUGUAGGAGACAAUGUAAAAUAACUGAGAUUUAUGUUUGUUUAAGCCUCUGAUUUGCAUUUCAGCUUUCUAAUAACUGACUUCAUGAGUAACAACCCGUGGCUGUGUGAAAGCUUUUCAGAUUUCAUUCUUCUCUUUGCAAGCUUUUGGAAGUUGUUGCUAAGCAAACCUUUUCCAGCUUCUGGGACAUUCCAAACAGAGUCUGAAGAUAUUCAACUGUACUGGUUUGGCAAUAAACAGUCAUGUGACCACA
Molecule: long non-coding RNA, 1205 nt
Organism: Ornithorhynchus anatinus (platypus)
Lineage: Eukaryota; Metazoa; Chordata; Mammalia; Monotremata; Ornithorhynchidae
Exons: 2
Source: RefSeq, a predicted model, not a curated record